This 1234-nucleotide long non-coding RNA is filed under the name Sus scrofa (pig). RNAcentral describes it as "lncRNA (ENSSSCG00060067327.1)". The record is from RNAcentral. Lineage: Eukaryota; Metazoa; Chordata; Mammalia; Artiodactyla; Suidae.
AAUCUGGCACUUCGCUUUAGAGGGCAGAAUAUCUCAAGUGUUUGGGUCCAAACACUUCUGUGACAUUUGCUGGUUUCUACCUUUAUUGCGAAUAUGGUUUUAUAUAUUUCACCAGUACAAUAGAAAAAGGGAAAUGCUGGAGUUGCAGGAAUGUGUUUCUCUGUGACGUCCAGCAUACUUUGAAACAACGUAUCAAUGUUCUGUUAUUCACUGAUUCUUUCUUGCUUUCACAUACAUUACACUUACAUGAAUGGCAGAUCUUCUUCAUAAUACAUAAAUAAUGCUAUGAAGACACAUCACUGGUAUCUUAGUAUACAUGUAUACAAGUGGAUGGGAAAGAUACUAGAAUUCUCUUUCCCUGAUGAUUUCUGUCAAUGCUAGGAACUCCCACCGGCAAAUAUCCCGUCUCAUUGUUUCAAUCUGCAUUUCCUUAAAAACUAGUGAAAUUGAGCAUUAAUAUUUAUUUCUACUUGUGUUUCCUAGUUUUUGAGUUGCUUCUUUGUAGCGACUUGCCUGCUUUUUUUAGAAGUUAGAUAAUAUUCUUUUCCCAACUGAUUUAAGGAUCUUCUUCUGUCUGAUCAUAUGGAACUUUUGGUUUUACAUGUUGCAAAUAUUCCUCCUUAGUGUCUCUUCAAUGGGAGGAAGGUAAACAUGGCGUUCAAGAACUCGGUGGAAAAAAGGGAAGCAAGCAAGCAAGUCUGGUGUGGCUGAUGCACAGAGAGCGAAGGGGAACAGGAACGAAAAACCAUCAGAGACCGAGGAAGCAGAAGGCUUUCACGGAUUGGUUUUACAAGAUUCUGAAGACGGCUACAUUUAGUAUUAGAAUUAAAGUUCUGGGAUAAUUAUUUCCUAAAGAGGCUAAUUGUUAUCUUCAGAGACAGAAAUACUCAACAGAAAGUACUGAGGCUUAUCUUUUGGAAACAUGCAACAAUUACCAGAGAAGACCCACCCCCAGAGAGAGUUGUGCUGUACACUGGGUUGACUUUAUACUGUGACCCAGAGGAAAAAUGCCACAGCAGCGAUAGCUGAUAUUGCAGAUGAUAACAGUGUCAGGAGAAGAGUAAAUAAUACAGAACUGUACAGUCAGAAGCAGAAGUUGGAUCACUUACACACCUGGGCUAAAAGAAGGUAAAUGCUAGAGAUCAAUGAAGAUAAAUGUAGACUACUGCAUCUUGAGAAGAAAGAGAGACAAGGUUGAAAAAAAGGAAAAUAAAACAACAGCAAAGGCAUUGCA